CUUACUGAUAAAUUAGUGUUUGACAAACUGGCAUUUUUCACAGUAAAAAUUGCAAUCACUUCUUGGCAAUUCUUUCAUCCUGUUCAGAAUUACUCAAGUAUUUUCUCUUCCUAACUAGCUUCCUAACUUUGAACAAGGUGGAGAUGUUGAAAGAACAACCCGUUAUACUCUUCUUCAGACUGUAGGUAAAACUAGAUAGAACAAAGGCAUGUGAAAAUAGAAAUCAGUUAACAAAAGUAUUUCUGCAUAAAAAGCUUUAUUCUAAUUUGUUCCUCCAUUUUUUGCAGAGGUUUGAUUAGUGUGUCAUCAAUGUAUGCAAACUUAACUGUUUACAUAAAUUGCUAUUGUUUUACAGAUAUGUCUGCAAUUGCAAGAAACAGUCUCCAGACAGUCUCCUUAUCCCCUCAGUGGCAAAUCAACACUUACAAAAAAAUUGUCCAGAAGAAGCAGACAAGUGGAAACGUUAUUUUGUAUUUUGACUGUGCUAGAUUAAAACUGAUGAAAAAGAGGAUUGUGUGUAGCUGUUCUUUCUUCAGUUGGAUCAGACGCUUUCUCCAUCUGUUGUGAGUGGGGGUUUUCCAUGGAAGAAAAAGAGAAAUGAGAAAUUAACUACUUAUGCGAGGGGUAUGUAUAUCAAUAGUAUUUUUUUCAAAAAUUCUCUGUCAGCUUCUUCAAUUUUAGGAGUGGUGGAAUUCCUGAG
This 700-nucleotide long non-coding RNA is filed under the name Struthio camelus australis. RNAcentral's name for it is "lncRNA (ENSSCUG00000005639.1)". Lineage: Eukaryota; Metazoa; Chordata; Aves; Struthioniformes; Struthionidae. The record is from RNAcentral.